UAAUACCAGCCCCCUGAGUGGUAGGGAUGAUUAUUUGGCCUAAAACGUCCGUAGCCGGCUCAGCAAGUCUUUCGUUAAAUCCGGUGACUUAAUCAUCGGGCUGCGAGAGAUACUACUAGGCUUGAGGGCGGGAGAGGUCGACGGUAUUCCGGGGGUAGGGGUAAAAUCCUAUAAUCCUCGGAGGACCACCAGUGGCGAAGGCGGUCGACUAGAACGUGCCUGACGGUGAUGGACGAAAGCUGGGGGAGCAAACCGGAUUAGACACCCGGGUAGUCCCAGCUGUAAACGAUGCGGGCUAGGUGUUGGGGCAGCUACGAGCUGCUCCAGUGCCGCAGAGAAGUCAUUAAGCCCGCUGCCUGG
Molecule: ribosomal RNA, 360 nt
Filed under: uncultured archaeon
Lineage: Archaea
Description: bacterial SSU rRNA
Rfam family: Archaeal small subunit ribosomal RNA
Source: RNAcentral